UGCCUGGUCGUCUAACGGCUCAAGAUUUCGGAAUUUGACUCCGAAGAUAAAGGUUCGAUUCCUUUCCGGGCAU
This 73-nucleotide transfer RNA is filed under the name Saprospiraceae bacterium. RNAcentral describes it as "tRNA-Gln". It matches the Rfam family "tRNA". From Rfam's summary of the family: Transfer RNA (tRNA) molecules are approximately 80 nucleotides in length. Their secondary structure includes four short double-helical elements and three loops (D, anti-codon, and T loops). The record is from RNAcentral. Lineage: Bacteria; Pseudomonadati; Bacteroidota; Saprospiria; Saprospirales; Saprospiraceae.